This 497-nucleotide ribosomal RNA is filed under the name uncultured bacterium. RNAcentral describes it as "partial 16S ribosomal RNA". It matches the Rfam family "Bacterial small subunit ribosomal RNA", at positions 28 to 507 of the family's 1533-position model. The record is from RNAcentral.
GAUGAACGCUGGCGGCGUGCCUAAUACAUGCAAGUCGAGCGAACGGACGAGAAGCUUGCUUCUCUGAUGUUAGCGGCGGACGGGUGAGUAACACGUGGAUAACCUACUUAUAAGACUGGGAUAACUUCGGGAAACCGGAGCUAAUACCGGAUAAUAUUUUGAACCGCAUGGUUCAAAAGUGAAAGACGGUCUUGCUGUCACUUAUAGAUGGAUCCGCGCUGCAUUAGCUAGUUGGUAAGGUAACGGCUUACCAAGGCAACGAUGCAUAGCCGACCGGAGAGGGUGGUCGGCCACACUGGAACGGGGACACGGUCCUGACGCCUACGGGAGGCAGCAGUAGGGAAUCUUCCGCAAUGGGCGAAAGCCUGGCGGAGCGGCGCCGCGUGAGUGAUGAAGGUCUUCGGAUCGUAAAACUCUGUUAUUAGGGAAGAACAUAUGUGUAAGUAACUGUGCACAUCUUGACGGUACCUAGUCAGAAAGCCACGGCUAACUACGUG